GCAGGUGAGUCACUGUUGCUUACCAGGAUGGAAUGGGGGAGAGGAGAGGUGGCAAGGAGAUUGGCAUGGUGCAAAUGCAUUGGCAGGGGCCGUGAAUUGGCUCUGCCGGUGCAUUUGUGCUGCACUGACUUUACUGCUUCUUCACCCCUUCUCCUUCCAGGAAGCAACAGUGACCCACUUA
Non-coding RNA from Podarcis lilfordi (Lilford's wall lizard), 181 nucleotides. The record is from the annotation of a GenBank genome assembly. Lineage: Eukaryota; Metazoa; Chordata; Lepidosauria; Squamata; Lacertidae.